CGGUGAAUACGUUCCCGGGCCUUGUACACACCGCCCGUCACACCACGAAAGUCGGCAACACCCGAAGCCGGUGGCCCAACCCUUUUUGGGGGGGAGCCGUCGAAGGUGGGGUUGGCGAUUGGGGUG
This 126-nucleotide ribosomal RNA is filed under the name uncultured bacterium. RNAcentral describes it as "partial 16S ribosomal RNA". It matches the Rfam family "Bacterial small subunit ribosomal RNA", at positions 1360 to 1482 of the family's 1533-position model. The record is from RNAcentral.